CAUUGCGCGACGGCCAGGUGUCCUGGGCAUGGCCAAGCGAGAUGGUCUGGAACAUAAGGCAGAGCGCCGCGAACGCGGCGACAGCAAAACGCAUGGUCGUUCUCCCUGAGUGCGCGCUCAUGACGCCGGUUANNNNNNNCCUGACCGCGCUUGUUUUUGUGCCGCCAUUUCCGCACAGGCCGCGCGCAAGCGCAAUGGCG
RNAcentral lists this unclassified non-coding RNA (200 nucleotides) under Hevea brasiliensis (rubber tree). Lineage: Eukaryota; Viridiplantae; Streptophyta; Magnoliopsida; Malpighiales; Euphorbiaceae. The record is from RNAcentral.